RNAcentral lists this ribosomal RNA (2241 nucleotides) under Triticum aestivum (bread wheat). RNAcentral's name for it is "partial small subunit ribosomal RNA". Lineage: Eukaryota; Viridiplantae; Streptophyta; Magnoliopsida; Poales; Poaceae. The record is from RNAcentral.
AUGGAGUGCAACAAGGAUGAGGCCCUUAGGGCGAAGCAAAUUGCAGAGAGGAAGUUUGAAUCCAAGGACCUGCAGGGUGCCAAGAAAUUCGCACUCAAGGCCAAGUCUCUCUUUCCGGAUCUUGAGGGCAUUAUGCAGCUGAUCAUCACCUUUGAUGUUUACCUUACCUCAGAACUGAAGGUUGCUGGUGAGAAUGACUAUUACUCUAUCCUCUCUGUCGACACGUCAGCAGAUGAUGAAACAGUGAAGAAGCAGUACAGGAAGUUGGCACUUCUACUCCAUCCUGACAAGAACAAAUCAGUGGGCGCUGAGGGUGCUUUCCAGUUGGUUAAAGAGGCAUGGACUGUGUUAUCUGAUAAAACCAAGAGACUGUUGUAUGAUCAAAAAAGGAAAGUAGUUGUACUACAACAGAAGACAGCCCAAUCAAAUAGGACAAGUGCAACUCAAGGUGCAACCAAUGGCUUCGAGAGUUUCGCAGCCAAAUCACCUGCUUUCAAGCCAAGAGCAAACAAGCCAAAGACAGGGUCAACAACAUCUGCAGCGCGCCAGCGCCCACCCCCACCCCCACAGCGCCCGCCUCCUCAUCAUCAGGCUCCUGCUCCUGCUCCACCUCCAGCAAUGAAGGACACAUUUUGGACCUCAUGCAACAAAUGCAAGAUGAAUUUUGAAUAUCUCAGAGUGUAUAUAAAUCAUACUCUUCUCUGCCCUAGCUGCCGCGACCCAUUCCUUGCAAAAGAGGUACCGGUGCCACCAACUGAGGAUGUUCAUGCAGGAAGGGGCUCAAACAUCAGUGGUGCACCUCAAGAUGCAAGCACUAGGAGAAAUUUUCAGUGGGGUCCAUUCUCAAGGGCAGCUGGUGCAGCCAGUGCUACUGCAUCAUCAUCUGCUGCUGCUCAAGCUGCUAAUGUGGUUCAUCAGACAUAUGAGAAAGUUAAGAGAGAGAGGGAGGAGGCACAAGCAGUAGCAAGAAGGGAAGAAGCUUUUCAGAGGAAGCACAAUCCUCUAAAAAGGCAAGCAGAUGUGUCAAUGAACCAUGGAAUGGGCGAUACUGCAUUUGGAAAGAAGAUGAGAACUGAUGCUGGAGUUGGUUCAUCCAUUCCCUCAGGUCCAUGGGCCCAAUUUGCUAGAAUGCCAGUUGGAACUAUACCAUUUUCAACCAACAGUGCCUUUGAGUUUCAGAUUGUUAAUGGUGUGCCCACUUGGAAGCCCAGGCCUGUUACUCGGCUCAGCGUAACUAAGAUUUUCUCUAAGUCAGAUCUUAAGAGAAUUUUGGUUGACAAGGUGAAGAGCGAUUUGAAGGAGAAGCUAAGUGAGAUACGAAGUAGGUCAAUCCAAGUUACUGUUGAUGGUCCAGCGAGCAAGAAAUAUGUUGAGGUUAGCAAAGCAACAGUUGAUUCUACUGCAAAGAAAGAUGUUUGUGUGGAUCCAGAGGAGAAUGGUUCUGCUAAUAGCAAUGGUUCUGAUGAUAGCACAGCUGCUGGAAAUGAAGAUGAGGACCCUAUGUCUUAUACUGUUCCUGAUCCUGAUUUCCAUGAUUUUGAUAAGGAUCGUACCGAGGAAUGUUUUCAGAGUGAUCAAAUUUGGGCUUCAUACGACGAUGAUGAUGGCAUGCCUCGUUUCUACACAUUUAUUCAGAAAGUUAUCUCCUUGAACCCGUUUAAGGUCAAAAUAAGUUACCUCGAGUCGAAGACGAAUAGUGAAUUUGGACCAUUGAGUUGGGUUUCUUCUGGCUUUGCAAAGACGUGUGGUGAUUUCAGGAUUGCCAAACAUGAAAUCUGUGAUGUGGUCAACAUGUUCUCUCACCAGAUUAAAUGGGAGAAAGGCCCACGUGGGAUGGUCAACGUUUACCCACGGGAAGGCGAUAUCUGGGCUUUGUACCGAAACUGGUCCCCUGAAUGGGAUGGAGAUACUCCAGAUAAUGUGCUGCAUGUCUAUGAUCUGGUUGAGGUACUGGAUGAUUAUGACGAAGAUCAUGGAAUCUCUGUAAUUCCCUUGGUUAAGGUCACUGGAUUUCGGACAGUUUUUCAGCGUCACCAGAACCGGAACGUCAUCAAGAGGAUUCCGAAAGAGGAGAUGUUUCGGUUUUCACAUCAGGUCCCCUUCUAUAGGUUGUCUGGGGAAGAAGCUCCAAACGUCCCCAAAGAUAGCUAUGAGGUAGACCCAGCUGCAAUUCCGAAGGAACUUCUUCAGGGGAUCACAGAAACAGCGGAGGAGGCAGAAGGAACUUCUAAAUCCAGUUGA